ACGAUCACAUGAAUGGAUUUGGGUGUUGCCGUAACCGGCUCACCUUGAAAUGAAUUAGCUUUGCGCCCAUUAGCGUGCUCGGUGUGAUAAUUAUCAUUCGCCUUAGGCCGCUUCCAGUGACGCUGCUUCUAAUGGUCCCUUGUGGACAACAAAUCUAAAGCAUUGGCCUCAAAUCGGGUAGGACUACCCGCUGAACUUAA
RNAcentral lists this unclassified non-coding RNA (200 nucleotides) under soil metagenome. RNAcentral describes it as "partial contains internal transcribed spacer 2 and large subunit ribosomal RNA". The record is from RNAcentral.